AUAUUGAAAAACACCAGAUGAUCCACUUCGAAGGAACAUAAACAAGCCAAGCGGAUGCAGGUUAAUAAAACCCGCAAAAGCCCCAGACAGGAACACUUAAAAUGCCCCAGAAACAAAGCAUACCGUGACAAAUUCUCACCCAACACAUAAGUACAUGCACCAGAAUGUUCCCAGGCAU
This 178-nucleotide small RNA is filed under the name Sus scrofa (pig). RNAcentral's name for it is "sRNA (ENSSSCG00070030007.1)". The record is from RNAcentral. Lineage: Eukaryota; Metazoa; Chordata; Mammalia; Artiodactyla; Suidae.